AUACAGAGGGUGCAAGCGUUAAUCGGAUUUACUGGGCGUAAAGCGCGCGUAGGUGGCUAAUUAAGUCAAAUGUGAAAUCCCCGAGCUUAACUUGGGAAUUGCAUUCGAUACUUGUUAGCUAGAGUAUGGGAGAGGAUGGUAGAAUUCCAGGUGUAGCGGUGAAAUGCGUAGAGAUCUGGAGGAAUACCGAUGGCGAAGGCAGCCAGCUGGCCUAUUUCGGACGCUGAGGUGCGAAAGCAUGGGGAGCAAACAGGAUUAGAGACCCUGGUAGUCCAUGCCGUAAACGAUGUCUGCUAGCGGGUGGGGCCCUUGAGGCUUUAGUGGCGCAGCUAACGCGAUAAGUAGACCGCCGGGGAAGUACGGUCGCAAGACUAAAACUCAAAUGAAUUGACGGGG
RNAcentral lists this ribosomal RNA (396 nucleotides) under uncultured bacterium. RNAcentral describes it as "partial 16S ribosomal RNA". It matches the Rfam family "Bacterial small subunit ribosomal RNA", at positions 523 to 918 of the family's 1533-position model. The record is from RNAcentral.